UUUGAAACCUUCACAACUCAUAUUCCACAACUCAAUUUUUUUUUUCACUAUUUUUCUUCCAAACAAGCAUUCAUUUUCAUUCUUUUUAUUUUUGUUCUUUUCUUUCACAUCAUAUUUACAAAACAGGUGUUUCUUUUCUAUAUUUUCAUUUUCAAUGCUUGCUUGGUUUUUCAUUUUUAUUUUCAAGAGUUGUGGUACUUACCAAUUCUCCCUAACUUAUUUCUUACUCACCCUAAGUGAAUGCUCUUAACUUUUUACGGCAAAAGAACAAUAAUCAAGAUUUUCCAGGUUGUAACAAAAAGAUUUUUGAAAUCUCGCUUUAUUUCAAGCUGAGAUUCAAGUGUUUAAGCUCAAAGGGGUUAACAAAUACUCUCUCUGCUCACAGGUAAACUGUUUUUGGAUGUAGUUGUGCUCGAUAAAAAAACAAGUGCCUUGAUCAUUUCUAAUUGCUUCCACAUAUUCACAAUAAUAAAAGACAAAGCAUGAAUCAAAUGAAUCAACAAAAGUUAUUAGAAUCCAGCAUUUAAGUGUACAAUGGAGGUUUCCUCACAAUUUGUGGUUUAAAGUUCUAGAUGA
This 576-nucleotide long non-coding RNA is filed under the name Lathyrus oleraceus (garden pea). RNAcentral describes it as "Pisum sativum (pea) long non-coding RNA (PSAT_LNC004109)". The record is from RNAcentral. Lineage: Eukaryota; Viridiplantae; Streptophyta; Magnoliopsida; Fabales; Fabaceae.